UCACUCAUAGAUAAAAUGCUAGGAUCAUAUAUGAUCAUUUGGAUACUUAUGAAACAUACACAUAAAGGAGAACUGAUUAAGGUGGUUUAUCCAAUAUCACGUGUCACAACUUCAUAACAUAGAGUUAUCCUAAUCAAAGUGUUUUGCAGCGGAAAACGUGUGAGAUAUACAUAUGAAGAUGUAUACUCAAGGUUACAUUUCUUGAAAUGAUCAAAGGAACACCCGCUCAACACCAUUCCAUUCCAUCAGCUGCUCAACCUGCACAUUUAGAAAUACAUGCAGGGCUGAGUAUAAAAAUACUCAGUGGACAAAUGCCGAAAAAAAUACAAUCAUGCAUACAUAUAUAAAUUGAACUGCCAUAACAGUAACACACAGGGGUUUUCUUGAAAGACCUGCGCUUACUAAAACAUUUCUUUCAUUUUCAUAAGAUUGGCCGGCCGACCCAUUUUCCUUCAUAUGAUCCAUAUCUGUUCCUUUCUGUCAUGCGCCGGGAAGGAGGCCUCCUUACCACGGACGCCAAGACCGGUCGCAAGCGACUCGCGGUCUCCAUGAGUGUACACGUUAACCCUAGCUAGCGACCUUUGUCUAGCAUAGGAUCCCAAUUGAAUUUCCUUUAAAGUUGGCGAACCAACACAGAUAGGAUUCAUAUAAAAACAUAAACAUUUUUGGCAGUCAAUCAUUUCAUAAACAUUUCGUUUCAUAAGAGCCAUUUUCAUUUUCAUUUCAUAAGAGUCAUUUAUCAUUUGGGCUUAAUAAUAAACUAAAAUUAACAGUUAAAAUCAUCUCAUGCAUAUAUUCGUAUAAGAGGCCUACAACACGCAGGGGAUCUCUAUAUACGUAUAGUAAAAGUAAUGCCCACCNAUCUGACAUCAAGGAUCGUAUCACAAAAUAAGUUUUAAAGAGCUUAUAAGUUGUAAAAUUAAGCUCUAAGAGCUUGUAAACUCCCCAAAAAUAAGUUGCUCCACCCCAACUUAUUUUGUCACAUCCCGCUACCCUUAAUGACGGUUUAGCCGGGAUUAUGACUUGGGAUGAGACUUAAUGAGUGGGAACAGAAAUGGACAAUUACUUAACAUUAAAGUAUAUGGAAAUGUCACUUAUAGAUAAAAUGUUAGGAUCAUAUAUGAUCAUUUGGAUACUUAUAAAACAUACACAUAAAUGAGAACUGAUUAAGGUGGGUUACCCAAUAACACGUGUCACAAUUUCAUAACAUAGAGUUAUCCUAAUCAGAGUGUUUGCAGCGAAAAACGUGUGAGUUAUGCAUAUGGAGAUGUAUACUCAAGGUUUCAUUCUUGACAUGAUAAGGGAACUCCGCUCAACACCGUUCCAUUCCAUCAGCUGCUCAACCUGCACAUUUAGAAAUACAUGCAGGGCUGAGUAUAAAAAUACUCAGUGGACAUAUGCCGAAAAUACAAUCAUGCAUACAUAUAUAUAAAUUGAACUGCCAUAACAGUAACACACAGGGGUUUUCUUGAAAGACUUGCGCUUACUAAAAUAUUUCUUUCAUUUUCAUAAGAUUGGCCGGCCGACCCAUUUUCCUUCAUAUGAUCCAUAUCUGUUCCUUUCUGUCACGCGCCGGGAAGGAGGCCUCCUUACCACGGACGCUAAGACCGGUCGCAAGCGACUCGCGGUCUCAAUGAGUGUACACGUUAACCCUAGCUAGCGACCUUUGUCUAGCAUAGGAUCCCAAUUGGAUUUCCUUUAAAGUUGGCGAACCAACAAAGAUAGGAUACAUACGUAAAACAUAAACAUUUUUGGUAGUCAAUCAUUUCAUAAACAUUUCAUUUCAUUUCAUUUCAUAAACAUUCCAUUUUCAUUUCAUAAGAGUCAUUUAUCAUUUGGGCAUAAUAAUAAACUGAAAUUAACAGUUAAAAUCAUCUCAUGCAUAUAUUCGUAUAAGAGGCCUACGACACGCAGGGGAUCUCUAUAUACGUAUAGUAAAAGUAAUGCCCACCUCAAACGUUCUUAAGCUAGCGUGGAGUCGCUUCUUCUUCGGCUUCACUUCCUGUCGCCCGGACCUUUAUUGAUGAAGAGUCGGUAAGUUCGUGAAGAAAAUUGUCACAAGACAAAGUCUAAUUCUACGUGCCUAGGGUAUCUUUUAGUGUUUUAGGGUUCUAGCAUCCAUAAUUCAUUUCGAUUAAAACAAUCAAAAACCAACAUAACAAACGAUAACCACAUAAUAUCACGUAACCACAUAACAAACAAAAUAAAAGAAUUCAACAUCCUUAAACUUAAUAUCAUUUAGAAAUUCACAUGUUCACAUAAGAGAUAAUAAUCAUGCACCGUCUUAUAACAUUCUAUACAUUUCAUUUCCAUGUAAAUGAAUACGAAAUUCCAUUAUUCAUUUAUAAAUGACUUAAAUAAGCAUUUUAAACUCCAUUAAAAUGGAAUUGAUUUAAAACAUUUUAAUCCUUUUAAAAUCCAUACUCAUAAAGCCUUAACUCAUGCUCUAUCUCAUAUUCUAUCUCUUUACUCAACUCUAUAUAAACUCUCCACUCAUCUCAAAUCCUUAAGUUCAAGGAUAGGUUUCAAGAAAAUCAUGGUACUAAGUCUCGAUUUAUCUCUCAUAUAAGGCUCGUCUAAUCUCAUUCAACACAUAGACAACACAAUCACAUAAGGCACAUAAGAAAACACAAUCAAACAUUAUCAAAACAUGCUCUGUUUUUACACUGACUCAACUUCAAAAUCUAACCUGUUCUUACUCCGACACCUCCUGGACUCGAGACUCAUACCAAAAGAAAGGUCUUCGAGUCUAGUUUCAUAUAAAAAAAAGUAGAGUCAAAAACUCCAAGUAUUGUAGGAGAUAUGACUGUUUUACUACAGUCUACCAUAUUCGGCAGUUUUGAGCAAUCGAAAACUUGGAUUUUUGAAAAAUAGUAAGUGUUGUCAAACUGGGCUCAAAUUUUGUGGAUAUCUAGCUAACACAAUAAGGUUAAUACCAUAAAAUUUUGGAAAGCUAGAUCACACAGGAAGCUACUGAAAUGAAUGACUCUUUCCCCUGCUCUCUGAAACUCUCGGUAGUAAUGUGCAGUUUCGGUUUUGUAUUUUAUAAAAAUAGUAAACGAAGUCCAAAUGACUUGAAAUUUUGCCGGUGUGCUUAAGACUCUCAAAUAUACUUACCAUAAAAUUUUGAUGGUGUUUAGGUAUCAAAAACCCCUCGAAACAGUAGGUCAGUGCAUGACGAAAAUGACUCCGAACUCCAUCACACAAGCAAACAUGCUCAACUCAACAUUUCUUCAAAGCAAACUCAUCAAAGCUCAUUUUAAACACUUAUAGCAUUCAAAAAAACAUUCAAGUACAACAUAAUACUCAUCAUACUCAAACAUGAUCUCAUACACCACAUAACUCAUUAUACACAUAUAGAUACACAUAUAUGUCAUCUUCUUCCUCAAACUAACACUUUUCAUUUCAUUCAAAAUUCACAAUUUAAUCAUGCCAUAGUCCUUUAUAAAGUCCAAUUAGCAUAUAGACAUCAUUAAUCCAAACAUUGAUCUCAUAAUUCAAAAAUACCCAAAUCCUAGUAAACUAAACUCAAGCAAUUUCACAUAUAAUCAACAAUUAGCGAAAUUAACCUUUAACUAUCAUUACUAUCAUGCUCAAUAUCAAUUAUCCUUAGCCAAUUCAAAUAAUUAGCACAUAAAUCAAAAAGCCCUAUUUUAUAUCUAACUAAACUUUUUGAAAAUUUACAAACAUGCAUAAAUCAUUAAUCCAACCUUAGAUUAAUCAAAUUGAGUCAUUUAAUAGCACAUAUAAGACAUCAAUUCAUCAAAUCUCAUCAUCAAUCAAAACUUCCCAAAUUUUAGCAAACUAAACUCUUUGAAAAUUCAAAAUCCUUUCUAAUCCUUUUAAAAACUCAUGGAUAUCAACUCAAUAGGUUCUCAAUUAUAUAUAUCUUAAGCCAAUUCACUUAAUAAACACAUAGACAAGAAAGUCCUAAUUUUUAUUAAACUAAACUCUUUGAAAUUUUAUAAACACACAUGACACUUUGAUCCAAUCAUUGAUCUACCAAUUUUAACCUUUUAAACUCACAUAUAAACCAUCAAUUAGCAAUUUAGGGCAUAGAUACACAUAUCCCUAAUUUUAUUAAACUAACUCAUAUCAAAAUCAUCAAUUGACAUCAUAUACUCAAUUUACUCCAUCAAUCAUCAUCAUAUACAUCUCAUGGACUCAUCUUCAUCAUCAAUCCAUCAUUUUAAUCAUCAACUCACAAUUUCCCAAUUUUUGGGUAAACUAAACUCAAUCGACUUUCACAUCUCAAAGCAUAUACUUUCACAACACACAUCAAUCAUCAACAAACACCACAUAGAUCUCAUUUUUCACCCCAAAUCAAAGAAAGAAAAAGAAAAUUUUUGAAGGGUAAAGACCCAUUUUUUUCGAAAAUUUUAAGAACAAGGGAGGGGUGAUUUUCUUGCUUCAAUCUUUCAAGAAUACUCACAUACAACAUCAUUCAAGCAAGAUUUAUGGAAUACAUGGUCACUUACCCAAAUUUCUUACCAAGAUUCACACUUUCUCACUCUAGCUUUG
This 4521-nucleotide long non-coding RNA is filed under the name Salvia miltiorrhiza (redroot sage). RNAcentral describes it as "long non-coding RNA (SMIL_LNC002584)". The record is from RNAcentral. Lineage: Eukaryota; Viridiplantae; Streptophyta; Magnoliopsida; Lamiales; Lamiaceae.